GCAACUAUUAGUAUUGUCCGCUGCCCUGAGGGCAUUUAUCCUGCAGAUUUCCUCAAUGGUCAGUAUUGUAAUCCCAGGGUUCUUUGAUCCCUCGGGUUUAAUUGUCUCUUUUUUUUUUUUUUUUAACAGUUCUGUCCUAUGCGGCUCUCAAAGCCUUCUGCUCUGUUUCUUUCUGUCUGCCAAUUCACAUCCUUGCAUUGUGCUGCUUCUAGAACUCAAGAAGCCACAUGGUUCUACAUACUGAAACACUCUUUUGGACUGCUUGUCCACUUCACCUUCUGAAUUCUUCAUUCUCUAUACCACCUUCUUCCUCACUUUCCUCUUCUCUUUCUUUUCUCCCUCAGUCUCUUUUCUUGGGGGUUGGGUAGGGGAAACCUCAUUUAGCCCUGGUGCAGUUGCUGCAUAGGGUGGAGGGGGGCUAAUUAUUCCUUCCUCCUUUUCUUCUGGGACUUCUCUUCUGGGACUGGCAAAACUGCUGGCUUUUUAACUUGUACUUGCUGCCAUACUGGGCACAGUUUGGCAUGGCACAGGUAAUCACAGUUCUACUUUUCUUAAGCCAUGGGAGACGGUUAGGAACUCCACAUAAGUGUUGGAGUCUAUUUUUUCAUCAGGUUUUUAAAAUCCCCAAUCUUCUCCCUUCGUGGCAUCUUUUCAAUUUGUUCAGGAAAGCAUUGCAGGGGGGUCAUGGGAGUUGUUUUACUGCUUUUUCUCCAUGACCCUGGAACACUUGGACACUUGGGAUACUGGGACACUCCCUCCUCCUAACGUUAUUUUUUCACUCAGUCACAGGCCAGACGUUGCUUUCAACGUCUCACACACUCAAAACAUUCACUGGAGUGUCCCCACACGCACAUUCAGUCACUAGAGUAUCUUGACAUGCAACAUACAACAUACAAAACACACCAAUAUAAUUUCAACAUGUAACACACUAAACACACCAAAAUAACUUCAACAUGUAAUACACAAAACACACCAAAAUAAUUUCCCCUCCUUCUUCUGUUCCAAAUUUUUGCUGGUGGCACUCUCCUGCACAACCAGUCCCCUUUAUUCCUGGUGGCUGGCACUCUACUGCGCAACCAGGUGAGGCUGAUCAGGCCUCCCUUUUUUCCCUUGGGCCCCAUGCCCACCUGGUGGCACACCACUGCCACGCCCUUUUUCCCCUUCCUGGCUGCACCCUACUGCAUAACCAGGUGAGGCUGAUCAGGCCUCCCUUUUUUCCCUUGGGCCCACGCCCACGCCCUUUCCCUUGGGCUUACCGUUUUCUGCUGCAGAGUCCCUUCCCUGGCCAGUCCUUUUUCCUCCCUCGACCUGGGUCCUUGCUCUGGAGCGGUGUGGCUGGUUCCCCCCACAAAUUGGUAGGGUGCGCGCGUGGAGCCUGCAAUCACCGAUCCGAGCUGUCCACCAGGUCGAGCCUGGCUCUCCCCAGCCCUCUGAGGUGGGGCAGAUUCCCGGUCAGGGAACCAAGAUGUAGGCUGAGCCUAGUCCAUGCCAGGGAAUCGUUGGCCCGCGUCCUCAGAUCCAGAGAGAGAGUAAAAGAAAACACCAGGAAAGAUCCUUCUUUGGAGGAAAGCAGUUUUAUUCUCUGUGCACAGGAGACAGCCAGCAGAAUAAUUUCUGGAAGACUGACUGCCUAGAAAAUACACCUCUGCAGACUUUCUUAUACCUUGAGUGGGCUUUCUCCCUCCUCCCCAAUCAACUGGAAAGUUUUCAACUUAUUUUUAGCAUGUCUAUAGCCCUCUAAAACAGCCCUCCCUAUUGUUCCCGAUACAAGCGUCCUGCAUCCCCCCUGUUUCCUCCCGUCUCCUCCCGUCUGUGUCUUUUUUUAUCUUGCAUUCCUAAAGUAAGAAAAAGCGAGGCUAUUUCUAACUUACAGUCUCUGUCUUAUCUUGCAUUCCUUCGGGGGGCCCUUUUUGCAGGUGAAGUUAUUUCUAGCUAAGAAAUUGACUUAGACAGAAAAUAUGAAGAUCCUUCUUAGGUACAUAUGAAGAUCCUUCUUAGGUACAAGGUACAAGGUAUAGAAAGCAUAUAGAAAGCAAAGGUACAAAAUAUAGAAAGCAACCCUUCCUCUCUCCCUUCAGCAUAAGAACAUAGUCAAUUAAAAAUGCUUAUCCACACUCUGUGUUUCAUU
Podarcis muralis (Common wall lizard) is the source of this 2128-nucleotide long non-coding RNA. The record is from Ensembl. Lineage: Eukaryota; Metazoa; Chordata; Lepidosauria; Squamata; Lacertidae.